Molecule: ribosomal RNA, 162 nt
Filed under: uncultured Bacillus sp.
Lineage: Bacteria; Bacillati; Bacillota; Bacilli; Caryophanales; Bacillaceae
Description: partial 16S ribosomal RNA
Rfam family: Bacterial small subunit ribosomal RNA
Source: RNAcentral
GUGGCUACAAUGGCCGGUACAGACGGACGCAAAGCCGCGAGGUGGAGCAAUCCUAAAAAGCCGGUCUCAGUUCGGAAUUGCAGGCUGCAAUUCGCCUGCAUGAAGUCGGAAUCGCUAGUAAUCGCAGGUCAGCAUACUGCGGUGAAUACGUUCCCGGGCCUU